AUGACCCCAGGUCAGACGGGACUACCCGCUGAGUUUAAGCAUAUCAAUAAGCGGAGGAAAAG
Molecule: ribosomal RNA, 62 nt
Filed under: Talamancalia boquetensis
Lineage: Eukaryota; Viridiplantae; Streptophyta; Magnoliopsida; Asterales; Asteraceae
Description: partial 25S ribosomal RNA
Rfam family: Eukaryotic large subunit ribosomal RNA
Source: RNAcentral